Molecule: non-coding RNA, 28 nt
Filed under: Rattus norvegicus (Norway rat)
Lineage: Eukaryota; Metazoa; Chordata; Mammalia; Rodentia; Muridae
Source: RNAcentral
ACAGCCCCUGUCAUCACAGGAUAAUGUC